Molecule: transfer RNA, 72 nt
Filed under: Fukomys damarensis (Damara mole-rat)
Lineage: Eukaryota; Metazoa; Chordata; Mammalia; Rodentia; Bathyergidae
Rfam family: tRNA
About the family: Transfer RNA (tRNA) molecules are approximately 80 nucleotides in length. Their secondary structure includes four short double-helical elements and three loops (D, anti-codon, and T loops).
Source: Rfam by way of RNAcentral
UGAAAUAUAGUUCAGUGGUAGAGCACUUACCUUGAAUGUAUGAGGCCCUCAGUUUAAUUCCCAGUACCCCAG